Molecule: ribosomal RNA, 493 nt
Filed under: uncultured bacterium
Lineage: Bacteria
Description: partial 16S ribosomal RNA
Rfam family: Bacterial small subunit ribosomal RNA
Source: RNAcentral
GACGAACGCUGGCGGCGUGCCUAACACAUGCAAGUUGAGCGACGAACCAGGGCUUGCCCUGGGGCAAAGCAGCGAACGGGUGAGUAACACGUGGGUAACCUACCCCGAUAACCGGGACAACCCGAGGAAACUCGGGCUAAUACCGGAUGUGCUCACUGGACUUCGGUUCAGUGCGUAAAGGAAGCUUCGGCCUCCGUAUCGGGAGGGGCCCGCGGCCCAUUAGUUUGUUGGUGAGGUAGCGGCCCACCAAGACCGCGAUGGGUAGCUGGUCUGAGAGGACGAUCAGCCACACUGGGACUGAGACACGGCCCAGACUCCUACGGGAGGCAGCAGUGGGGAAUCUUGCGCAAUGCGCGAAAGCGUGACGCAGCAACGCCGCGUGGGGGAAGAAGGCCUUCGGGUUGUAAACCCCUUUCAGGAGGGACGAAGGUUCGGCGGUGAAUAGCCGGCCGGACUGACGGUACCUCCACAAGAAGCCCCGGCUAACUACGUG